AGUAACACGUAAGGAACCUACCGAUAAGCGGGGGGAAACAUCCGGAAACGGGUGCUAAUACCGCAUAGGAAGUUUGUUCGCAUGAACAAACUUAGAAAGAUGGCUCUGCUAUCACUUAUCGAUGGCCUUGCGGUGCAUUAACUAGUUGGCGAGGUAACGGCUCACCAAGGUGAUGAUGCAUAGCCGACCUGAGAGGGUAAUCGGCCACAUUGGGACUGAGACACGGCCCAA
RNAcentral lists this ribosomal RNA (231 nucleotides) under uncultured bacterium. RNAcentral's name for it is "partial 16S ribosomal RNA". It matches the Rfam family "Bacterial small subunit ribosomal RNA", at positions 109 to 334 of the family's 1533-position model. The record is from RNAcentral.